GAUGAACGCUAGCGGGAGGCUUAAUACAUGCAAGUCGAGCGGCAAGGUCUUCGGACCCUAGAGCUGCGCACGGGUGAGUAACGCGUACGCAAUCUGCCCUUCCGUGAGGAAUAGCCCUGGGAAACUGGGAUUAAUACCUCAUAACAUUAAUAGAUAGCAUUGUUAAUUAAUUAAAGUUCUGGCGCUGAAGGAUGAGCGUGCGUCUAAUUAGCUAGUUGUUAGGGUAACGGCCUACCAAGGCUACGAUCAGUAGGGGGCGUGAGAGCGUGAACCCCCAAACGGGUAAUGAGACAAGGACCCGACUCCUACGGGAGGCAGCAGUAAGGAAUAUUGGGCAAUGGAGGCAACUCUGACCCAGCCAUCCCGCGUGAAGGAUUAAGGCCCUAUGGGUUGUAAACUUCUUUUGUUUGGGAAGAAAUCUGGACAUUUAUGUGCAGUUGACGGUACCUUACGAAUAAGCACCGGCUAACUCCGUGCCAGCAGCCGCCGUAACAC
RNAcentral lists this ribosomal RNA (495 nucleotides) under uncultured bacterium. RNAcentral's name for it is "bacterial SSU rRNA". It matches the Rfam family "Bacterial small subunit ribosomal RNA", at positions 28 to 526 of the family's 1533-position model. The record is from RNAcentral.